GGAGGUGAUGUCCGGCCGACCCAGCUCAUGCUAGUCUGUGCUCGCCGGCACGGCAAGGACAAGGAGCUGCUGGCCAGAUCGAUCCCGACCACCACGACACCCACCACCCUGAAGAUCGAUGGGAUAAUACCCAAGUGAGUGGCCAUGGAGCCAAACCUGGCAUCUUCACUGCCUGCAGCUCCGGCCUACCCCGCCGCCCUACCUUGACCUCCCGCACAUGGUGGCUGCCUGCCGCUGCUCCAGGCCUCCAAACGGAGCAGAACACAACCCUUCUUCCCCGACAUAUAGCUCUUGCCUUGCAUUGCCCAAACUUGCAGCUUGCUGAGAUGUGAACCGUAGCACCUCUCCUGCUCAUCCCCGACAGGCUGCUCAUCUUGGACAAGGGCGAGGUGGCAGACCUGCUGCUAACGCUAUUCUGCCCUGACGAUAACCGGGGCGAUGAAAGAUGCGCUGAUGGUGAGGAUGGGCAACAAUGGUUUCAGGAGCCACGCCUUCCCUUCUGCCACCAUUUACUGUAAAAUCGGAGCUGUUUUGGCUGCUGCUGCCCAUUGUGCAUCACAAUAGACAGUCACGUGCAUACAUACAGGCCGGAGCACGGAGUGGCUGGAGCUAGGCGAAGGGAGCAGCGCCGCUUUACCUACUGUGGCAGUGGU
Lolium rigidum is the source of this 653-nucleotide long non-coding RNA. RefSeq lists it as uncharacterized. The transcript is spliced from 4 exons. Lineage: Eukaryota; Viridiplantae; Streptophyta; Magnoliopsida; Poales; Poaceae. The record is from RefSeq and is a predicted model, not a curated record.